Molecule: small RNA, 126 nt
Filed under: Marmota monax (woodchuck)
Lineage: Eukaryota; Metazoa; Chordata; Mammalia; Rodentia; Sciuridae
Source: RNAcentral
GCCCGGGCGCGGUGGCAUACGCCUGUAAUCCCAGCAGCUUGGGAGGCUGAGGCAGGAGGAUCACAAGUUCAAAGCCAGCCUCAGCAACUGCAAAGCACUAAGCAACUCAGUGAGACCCUGUCUCUA